This 332-nucleotide ribosomal RNA is filed under the name uncultured bacterium. Its description in RNAcentral is "bacterial SSU rRNA". It matches the Rfam family "Bacterial small subunit ribosomal RNA", at positions 1154 to 1498 of the family's 1533-position model. The record is from RNAcentral.
GGUGCAAACCGUGAGGAAGGUGGGGAUGACGUCAAAUCAUCACGGCCCUUACGUUCUGGGCUACACACGUGCUACAAUGGCCGGUACAGAAAGCAGCCACUAUGCGAAUAGGAGCUAAUCUUUAAAACCGGUCUCAGUUCGGAUCGCAGUCUGCAACUCGACUGCGUGAAGCUGGAUCGCUAGUAAUCGGAUAUCAGCCAUGAUCCGGUGAUACGUUCCCGGGCCUUGUACACCCGCCCGUCAAGCCAUGGAAGCUGGGGGUACCUAAAGUCGGUGCGAAGGAGCUGCCUAGGGUAAAACUAGUGACUGGGUAAGUCGUACAGUACCAGGGC